UCGUAACAAGGUGAAGAAGAAUGUGAACAUGAAGUAGGAUCAUUA
Molecule: ribosomal RNA, 45 nt
Filed under: Xalocoa ocellata
Lineage: Eukaryota; Fungi; Ascomycota; Lecanoromycetes; Ostropales; Graphidaceae
Description: partial 18S ribosomal RNA
Source: RNAcentral